Molecule: long non-coding RNA, 1711 nt
Filed under: Mus musculus (house mouse)
Lineage: Eukaryota; Metazoa; Chordata; Mammalia; Rodentia; Muridae
Description: predicted gene, 50328
Source: RNAcentral
GCCAGCCCCAGGUCUAGUCAGCCCCAGAACUUUGAUCUGCACCACCCCCCUCCCACUCUACCUGAGAACUGUCCCACAUGGGCCUUCCAUGGACACUGGGGUAUGAGCACUUCCCCAGCCGCCACAGCUGCUCCUGUGACCGACCCUUGUCGCCCACUGUCUGCUAAUCGUGACGGAGGAGGGAGCAGUACAGAUCUACACAAGCUGCCACAGCCCGUGAAGAAUGACCGGGCCGCGGGCAGGCGUCACUCUCCCUGCCUGGCAACCAUGCUACUGGGUUGAGCUGGUUGGAAGAAGCUGCAGUCCCUCGGAGCAGUGCCCCAGGAUGUGUUCUCUCUCUUGGUCCCAGUCAAGGAAGGCCUUGAAAAGUGGUUGGGGUUGGGCAAAGCUGAAGAGCUAGAGCAGAGGGCGGAGGGCGGGGGUGACAGCUGGCUGGUGCGGUCAUUUUGCAUUUAACUCAUACAUAGGUCAGACUAGGGAUCUGUGCCCAUUAGGCCUGCAUUCUGCUGAGGGGCUAGUCUCCAGUACCCUCAGUUUACCUCUGUGCAGAAUGGGCCAAGGCACCCAACUUCCCUCCUCCCAGGGCGGCAGAGGGGGAAGGGGAGUUCUGGCAGUUUUCUCUGGACCGUGUAACUUUAAUUCUUUUCAAAGCCUACUUUUCAAAGCCUAAUGAUGGUUUCUUAAAUGUUCUAACCUCCCUUCUAGCCUACCACCUACGGGGGUGGAGUGUGUGUGGGAAAGUGGACCUGUGUAGAAAGAUUCUUUGGAGCAACUCUCAUCUGCGCUGUCUGGAAACAGGCAGUUCAGUUCACAGGUCAGCAGGCGGCAGCAGCUCGAUCCACUCUCAAGCAAUUCAUGGAUCCACCAGCACUGUCAGGAUAGCAGCAGCGUGGCUCAACCCAGCAGCAACAGCCAGGCCUCAGCUGAAUUGGCACGAGUCAGCAGGAGGGAUUUGGAUCGCCAGGAACACCAGGAGAAGUUCUUGACUGUUGUGUGCCUCUCUCAACAAAGUGAAGACCAGCAGACUUGAGGUCAACAAGCCUUGCACAGCUCGCUCUGUAAGCAAGCUUAGCUCAGCCACCAUCACUGUCCAUCCAGUCCUUUUGAUACGUCCUCCACGGGUCUGUCUCAGCUGACAUCACUCUGCCAAUCAGGCCCGAGUUUGAGAAAUCGACAAGAAACUGCAGCACACCACUAAAAGAUUUUUUGGUGUAUUUCUCUCUAUGGAGUCCCAAGAGAUGCAGCUCAACUACGCAGUGUAAGAUGGACCAAUACCUGUGUGUCAUUAUCGGAGAAAUCUUACAUCACGAGUCCUUUCACGUGCUUGCUUUAGCAGAACAUCCUUUCUCCUGUGUCUCUUCAGGGAAACAUCCCUUCAUGUGUUUGUCUUAGCAGAAUACCAUCCAACACAACUGACUUUCCAAAGAAUCCUUAAGUUUCAGGCCUGGGAGGCAGAGAUACCAUCACACACACACACACACACACACACCCCACCCCACCCCUCCGUCUCCCCAGGUUGGGCAGGACCUCCCCAGUCUGCCCCGCUGGAAGGUUUGAAAUCCUGGGUUAGAUUAAGGCCAUCCUGAUCAUUUCUCCUGCCUCCUCCUCUCCUAGUUUUUUUAAUAUAGCUUAGCUAAACACUCAGAGUGUAGCUGAGGCUGGCCUUGAACUCCUGUAGACUGUGUGCUCUACUGCCCAGGGUUAAGGGCCC